GGGUCAGUAGGGUGGUCGUGCCACCGGUACGUACUGGUCUCACUGAUUCCUCCAUCCUGUAGAACCGUAAUGCCAUUAAUUUGGUGUUGCGGGGAAACAGGACUGUUACUUUGAAAAAAUUAGAGUGUUUAAAGCAAGCUAACGCUUGAAUACAUUAGCAUGGAAUAAUGAAAUAGGACGAUCGAUCCUAUUUUGUUGGUUUCUAGGAUUGACGUA
Molecule: ribosomal RNA, 216 nt
Filed under: Glomeromycotina sp.
Lineage: Eukaryota; Fungi; Glomeromycota
Description: partial small subunit ribosomal RNA
Rfam family: Eukaryotic small subunit ribosomal RNA (bases 40-216)
Source: RNAcentral